RNAcentral lists this unclassified non-coding RNA (215 nucleotides) under Hevea brasiliensis (rubber tree). The record is from RNAcentral. Lineage: Eukaryota; Viridiplantae; Streptophyta; Magnoliopsida; Malpighiales; Euphorbiaceae.
GAGGGAUGCAACUUCCUUUCCCUUUUCAUCUAAAAAAUCAACUACCGUCACAAAUACUCCCUUCGUUCCAAGAGCUAAACUAAGCGCUUUCCCAAUUCUAGAGGCGCCACCAGUAACUAAAGCUGAUAAACCUAGCUUGAUCUCCAUAGAAUUGCCUUUUUUUUGGCUUCUCAGCAGUGAUUGUCAACGAGAGAAGAUUGAGCCAGAUAAGUGUU